CAUGUACGGAAUCCUUUAGAGAUAGAGGAGUGCUCGAAAGAGAGCCGUAACACAGGUGCUGCAAAAAAGUCGUCAGCUCGUGUCGUGAGAUGUUGGGUUAAGUCCCGCAACGAGCGCAACCCUUGCCAUUAGUUGCUACGAAAGGGCACUCUAAUGGGACUGCCGGUGACAAACCGGAGGAAGGUGGGGAUGACGUCAAGUCCUCAUGGCCCUUAUAGGUGGGGCUACACACGUCAUACAAUGGCUGGUACAAAGGGUUGCCAACCCGCGAGGGGGAGCUAAUCCCAUUAACCCUUCGUAGUCCGGAUCGCAGUCUGCAACUCGACUGCGUGAAGUCGGAAUCGCU
RNAcentral lists this ribosomal RNA (346 nucleotides) under Comamonas aquatica. RNAcentral's name for it is "bacterial SSU rRNA". It matches the Rfam family "Bacterial small subunit ribosomal RNA", at positions 985 to 1336 of the family's 1533-position model. The record is from RNAcentral. Lineage: Bacteria; Pseudomonadati; Pseudomonadota; Betaproteobacteria; Burkholderiales; Comamonadaceae.